RNAcentral lists this long non-coding RNA (1112 nucleotides) under Prunus dulcis (almond). RNAcentral describes it as "sRNA ncRNA". Lineage: Eukaryota; Viridiplantae; Streptophyta; Magnoliopsida; Rosales; Rosaceae. The record is from RNAcentral.
CGAUGAUGACGCCCUCUUCUCUCCAUUGACGAUACGACGCCCUCUCUUUCUCCUCAUCCUUCUUCGCUCAAUCAACGACGACGACACCUGCUUUCUCUCCUCUUCCUUAUUUGCUCCAUUAACAACGACACCCUCUCUCUCAUCUUCCUUCUUUUUACGCGAAGCUCUGUUUUUCAUCUAGUGAGAUAUGUGUUUUCUAUAUCAGAUUCUUAUUUCAAUUUUGUAGAUCUGUUAGGCCAACCUAUAUGGAUCUAACAAUAGAUCCGUUAUUUCAAUUUUCUAGAUCAGAUUCUUCUCAAGCAAAGUUUCUGUAUCUAUUGAUUUAUUAAGACUAUAUGGAUCUAACAAUUCGUUAGGCCAGCCUUGUCAUUGGUGUGGGAUGAAAUGAUUUGGCUUUAAUUCACAUUUAUAAAUAAGUUUUGAACUCUGCUUGAUUGCCUGAAUGGAAGGUUUGGACAUACAUCCUUAAUUCUUGAUAAUUUUUCAUUUUCAUUUGUCUAACGUUCUAAUAUUGGUCUCAUAGAACUUUUGAGAUUGAAGAGAUUGCAAAUUGUAACAAUGUAGUUGGUAGGAAUUAAGCUAUUUUUUUAGGUGAGAAACUAUUGUUCUAUGUUCUGAAUUUUCCUCUUAGAAAAGCAUUAGUCUAAUUACAUAGAAUACUCUUUAAAGAUCCCAAUUACAUCACUGUAUGAAAAUUCCUCCUUGAGAGUGCCCUCUACACUUGUGUAACGGAAAUAUUGAACUAAUACUAAAUUAUUAGUUACAACAUUAGGCAUUAUUCUUUGCUCCAUCAAGCUGCUUAUUUGAUUUGUCAUGCAAUGUUGUUUGAUUCCUUUGGUUGUUGACUUUGCUUUGUGUAUGACAUGUUAGGUUGGCUCCUAUCAUUCAUCUUCGUUAUUGGUGGCUUCUAGACCUCCAACCCUUGGUGUUCUUAGUCGAGGGAUUGGUCUAGAAGGUCUUUCUAGUGUCUUGGCUGGUCUAUGGGGUACUGGAAAAGGCUCCACAAGUUUAACUGAAAAUGUGCACACACUAGCUACCACUAAGAUGGGAAGCCGUAGAGGUGUUGAAUUGGGCGCAUGCGUUUUGAUUGUCUUAUCCCUUGUCGGUAAGUG